GAUGAACGCUGGCGGCGUGCUUAACACAUGCAAGUCGAACGGAAGGACGCGGCGCUUGCGUCUCUGUUGAUAGCCGCGGACGGGAGUGAAACACGAGGAACCCCUCCUUAUCAGACUGAGAUCACUACGAGAAACCGGAGCUAAUACGAUAUAAUCUUUUGCACCGCGUGGGGCGAAAGUGAAAGCCGGUCGUGCUGUCUCUUCUCGAUGCUUCUGCGCUUGAUUAGCUAGUUGGUAAGUUAAAGGCUUACCAAGGCUACGCUGCAUAACCGACGUGAGAGGGUGAUCGGCGACACUGGAACUGAGACACGGUCCAGACUCCUGCGGGAGGCAGCAGUAGCGAAUCGUCCGCAAUGGGCGAAAGCCUGACGGAGCAACGCCGCGUGAGUGAUGAAGGUCCUCGGAUCGUAAAACUCUGUUAUUAGGUGUGAACAGAUGUGUAAGUAACCGUGGACAUAUUGACGGUACCGGAUCAGAAAGCCCCGGCUAACUACGUG
This 497-nucleotide ribosomal RNA is filed under the name uncultured bacterium. RNAcentral describes it as "partial 16S ribosomal RNA". It matches the Rfam family "Bacterial small subunit ribosomal RNA", at positions 28 to 507 of the family's 1533-position model. The record is from RNAcentral.